AUUGAACGCUGGCGGCAGGCCUAACACAUGCAAGUCGAACGGUAGCACAGAGAGCUUGCUCUCGGGUGACGAGUGGCGGACGGGUGAGUAAUGUCUGGGAAACUGCCCGAUGGAGGGGGAUAACUACUGGAAACGGUAGCUAAUACCGCAUAACGUCGCAAGACCAAAGUGGGGGACCUUCGGGCCUCACACCAUCGGAUGUGCCCAGAUGGGAUUAGCUAGUAGGUGGGGUAAUGGCUCACCUAGGCGACGAUCCCUAGCUGGGCUGAGAGGAUGACCGGCCACACUGGAGCUGGGACACGGUCCAGACUCCUACGGGAGGCAGCAGUGGGGAAUAUUGCACAAUGGGCGCAAGCCUGAUGCAGCCAUGCCGCGUGUAUGAAGAAGGCCUUCGGGUUGUAAAGUACUUUCAGCGGGGAGGAAGGCGGUGAAGUUAAUAGCUUCACCGAUUGACGUUACCCGCAGAAGAAGCACCGGCUAACUCCGUGCCAGCCGCCGCCGUAA
Molecule: ribosomal RNA, 504 nt
Filed under: uncultured bacterium
Lineage: Bacteria
Description: partial 16S ribosomal RNA
Rfam family: Bacterial small subunit ribosomal RNA
Source: RNAcentral